CUCAGGCAGCCUCCUCCUCCCAUGGUCCCCGGCGUAGCAGCAAGUCCGAGCCGAUUUCCCCCCUGCCACGUUCUCCGGCGCGGCCUCCUCCUUACUUCUUCUCCGGCGGUCUCCUCGUUCUCCCGUUCGCUGGCACAGUGAGAAGGACCUCGUCCGAUUUCAUCUUUUUUCUUAGUGAAUGUCCGAUUUCAUCUAAGGUUGCCUAGGCCAAGUUGGUUAAUGGGCUUCCAGCCCAGAAGCGGAGCAGCACCGAACGUAUUGGAUCGUUGGAUGUUGAGAAGCAAGAGUUCCGAGGACACUUUUGACUUUGGUGGUUCCGGGAGUUGUCGGAUUUUAAGAUAAGGGAAACGAUUGUUAUCCCGCCAAACGUCCCGGUGACUCACCCGCUUUCUACCCCCACCUUAUUUAGCACGUUUCUCUCCCGAUCUCUAUCCCGGUCCUCGCCCGCCACCGGCUCUCCUCCGCCGGUUCUCGCCACCGCGCCACGGAGGGCGGCUCCUCCUUUGCCGCUUCACGCUGCCGGCACCAUGAAGGGCCGCUCCUCCUCCGUCGGUUCCCGCGGCCAGCACCCAGGAGGUUGGCUCCUUCCCUGACACCGCCGCAGCUGCCGCCAUGGCCACGGAUCCAUCCUCCACGGCCCAGGCGCGCGCAGAUCUGGUCCUGCCGCCACAGUUCUUCUCGGUUUGCACCUCAAGAUCAUGGGCACAUAGAAUAUCCUCAAGAUGUUUUGUUUAGAUUCGAUUGCUGAUUGUUUUGAUUGAGGAUUGAUGAGGUACUUAGGUAUCCGCGAUGUACCUUAAUGUGUAUUUGUCGUGUACCUUGAUAUAUCCGUGAUGUGGUUGAUGUA
Brachypodium distachyon (stiff brome) is the source of this 847-nucleotide long non-coding RNA. RefSeq lists it as uncharacterized. The transcript is spliced from 2 exons. Lineage: Eukaryota; Viridiplantae; Streptophyta; Magnoliopsida; Poales; Poaceae. The record is from RefSeq and is a predicted model, not a curated record.